UACUCGAGUGGCGAACGGGUGAGUAACACGUGGGUGAUCUGCCCUGCACUUCUGGAUAAGCUUUGGAAACUGGGUCUAAUACCGGAUAGGAACCAUCUUUAGUGUGGUGGUUGGAAAGUUUUUUCGGUGUAGGAUGAGCUCGCGGCCUAUCAGCUUGUUGGUGGGGUAAUGGCCUACCAAGGCGGCGACGGGUAGCCGGCCUGAGAGGGUGUACGGCCACAUUGGGACUGAGAUACGGCCCAG
Molecule: ribosomal RNA, 243 nt
Filed under: uncultured Actinomycetales bacterium
Lineage: Bacteria; Bacillati; Actinomycetota; Actinomycetes; Actinomycetales
Description: partial 16S ribosomal RNA
Rfam family: Bacterial small subunit ribosomal RNA
Source: RNAcentral